GUUAGGUGUGGUAAUAUACUCCUAUAAUCCCUGUUACUGGAAUAAGCUGAGGUUGGUGUAUCUCUUGAGCUCAGGAGUUCUGAGCUGCAGUAGAGCUAAAGCCAAUUGGGAAUCCACACUGAAUCUGGUAUCAACAUGGUGAGCCCCUGAGAGGGCAGAGCCAGGAGAGGGAAAGGGGAUACUAGAUUGCCUAAGGAGUGGCUUAUAGGCCCAGGUUGGAGACAGAGUAGGUCAAAGCCUUUGUGCUGAUCAACAAUAAGAUUAGGUCUACCACUGGCCACUGUAGUUCUAGCCUGGGCAAGAUAGAGAGACUCAGUCUCAA
Molecule: signal recognition particle RNA, 322 nt
Filed under: Vombatus ursinus (common wombat)
Lineage: Eukaryota; Metazoa; Chordata; Mammalia; Diprotodontia; Vombatidae
Description: Metazoan signal recognition particle RNA (ENSVURG00010019735.1)
Rfam family: Metazoan signal recognition particle RNA
About the family: The signal recognition particle (SRP) is a universally conserved ribonucleoprotein. It is involved in the co-translational targeting of proteins to membranes.
Source: Rfam by way of RNAcentral